AGAGUUUGAUCCUGGCUCAGGAUGAACGUCGGCGGUGUGCCUAAUACAUGCAAGUCGUACGCACUGGCCCAACUGAUUGAUGGUGCUUGCACCUGAUUGACGAUGGAUCACCAGUGAGUGGCGGACGGGUGAGUAACACGUAGGUAACCUGCCUCGGAGCGGGGGAUAACAUUUGGAAACAGAUGCUAAUACCGCAUAACAACAAAAGCCACAUGGCUUUUGUUUGAAAGAUGGCUUUGGCUAUCACUCUGGGAUGGACCUGCGGUGCAUUAGCUAGUUGGUAAGGUAACGGCUUACCAAGGCAAUGAUGCAUAGCCGAGUUGAGAGACUGAUCGGCCACAAUGGAACUGAGACACGGUCCAUACUCCUACGGGAGGCAGCAGUAGGGAAUCUUCCACAAUGGGCGCAAGCCUGAUGGAGCAACACCGCGUGAGUGAGGAAGGGUUUCGGCUCGUAAAGCUCUGUUGUUGGAGAAGAACGUGCGUGAGAGUAACUGUUCACGCAGUGACGGUAUCCAACCAGAAAGUCACGGCUAACUACGUGCCAGCAGCCGCGGUAAUACGUAGGUGGCAAGCGUUAUCCGGAUUUAUUGGGCGUAAAGCGAGCGCAGGCGGUUGCUUAGGUCUGAUGUGAAAGCCUUCGGCUUAACCGAAGAAGUGCAUCGGAAACCGGGCGACUUGAGUGCAGAAGAGGACAGUGGAACUCCAUGUGUAGCGGUGGAAUGCGUAGAUAUAUGGAAGAACACCAGUGGCGAAGGCGGCUGUCUGGUCUGCAACUGACGCUGAGGCUCGAAAGCAUGGGUAGCGAACAGGAUUAGAUACCCUGGUAGUCCAUGCCGUAAACGAUGAGUGCUAAGUGGUUGGGAGGGUUUCCGCCCUU
This 879-nucleotide ribosomal RNA is filed under the name uncultured bacterium. Its description in RNAcentral is "bacterial SSU rRNA". It matches the Rfam family "Bacterial small subunit ribosomal RNA", at positions 8 to 842 of the family's 1533-position model. The record is from RNAcentral.